This 272-nucleotide small RNA is filed under the name Pan troglodytes (chimpanzee). RNAcentral describes it as "retained intron". The record is from RNAcentral. Lineage: Eukaryota; Metazoa; Chordata; Mammalia; Primates; Hominidae.
CAUCAGCUGCCUGAAACGAGCCAACUACUUGGCACCCUUCGAUUGGAAGAUUCUGUAUAAUUUGGGCCUUGUCCAUUUGACCAUGCAGCAGUAUGCAUCAGCUUUUCAUUUUCUCAGUGCGGCCAUCAACUUCCAGCCAAAGAUGGGGGAGCUCUACAUGCUCUUGGCAGUGGCUCUGACCAAUCUGGAAGAUAUAGAGAAUGCCAAGAGAGCCUACGCAGAAGCAGUCCACCUGGAUAAGUAUGCGCUUUGUUGAGAAUGGUACUGGCGGG